GCCCUGCUUAACUGACAGAGCUGAACAGGGAAGAUUUGCGCCUACUAGGCUCUAGUCGGGACCCAUUUGAUUCGGGGAAACCUACAUGAACUGACUUCUCGGAAUCUUGCACAGAGUCUGUGAUCUAACCCGACACUGAGCCACCAUGGCGUAGCGGGCCUGGCAAGUCCGGAGGCAGAAGGGAUUCUGCACGACCUGGUUGAGAAGGUGGUUCCUGCAGAUGGAUCCACGUAGGAGUUCGAGGAAUCCGGCUGCCCGCAGCACAUCGUCGUGGCUCAAGUCUUAGGCACUUUAGCCGCGGCCUAAGGGACCAGUUCUUUUCCCACUUUGUUGGUUGUUUGGCGCGGAGGGUGU
Molecule: long non-coding RNA, 354 nt
Organism: Tachyglossus aculeatus (Australian echidna)
Lineage: Eukaryota; Metazoa; Chordata; Mammalia; Monotremata; Tachyglossidae
Exons: 3
Source: RefSeq, a predicted model, not a curated record